Molecule: unclassified non-coding RNA, 337 nt
Filed under: soil metagenome
Description: partial contains 5.8S ribosomal RNA, internal transcribed spacer 2, and large subunit ribosomal RNA
Rfam family: 5.8S ribosomal RNA (bases 1-120)
Source: RNAcentral
GAUGAAGAACGUAGCGAAAUGCGAUAAGUAAUGCGAAUUGCAGAAUUCAGUGAGUCAUCGAAUCUUUGAACGCACAUUGCGCCCCUUGGUAUUCCAUGGGGCAUGCCUGUUCGAGCGUCAUUUGUACCUUCAAGCUCUGCUUGGUGUUGGGUGUUUGUCUCGCCUCUGCGUGUAGACUCGCCUUAAAACAAUUGGCAGCCGGCGUAUUGAUUUCGGAGCGCAGUACAUCUCGCGCUUUGCACUCAUAACGACGACGUCCAAAAGUACAUUUUUACACUCUUGACCUCGGAUCAGGUAGGGAUACCCGCUGAACUUAAGCAUAUCAAUAAGCGGAGGA